CUCGGGCGUUGUGCCCAGGAGGAAGGAAGACCUCUGGUCUAGCUUGAUUUGUCCCCUCACACUAGGAGGGGGCUGUGGUGUUUGUAUGGGAACGGUGUAGAUUUACAGCAGUAGUGGUGUGUUUGUGUUCUCGUGUAAGUAUUUGUGGCUACAAGACAAUGUCCCUGCUGAAGUGCAGGCAGAGUAGAUGCUGCUGUUCGAAAUUAAAGCCCAGAGUAAUGAAGUCGUGGCAGAUGGAGUUUAAUUACAAAAUUCAUUCAGCACACGUGCGAAAGCUGAGGCAUAGUUCAUAGACAAAGUGUUUAUUUCAGUUUUGCCUUUACUGCAGCCCUUCAAACUUAUCUGAGUGUUAUCUCUAAUCCACCUGUGGGCAGCCUUCUGGGAACAGGUUACUGAAGACACAAGACACGGAACAGGCUGGUACCACCCAGCCUGACACCUUGGGAAUUAUGAUACAAAUUAAUGCUUGCUCGGGGAGAGGACCCAGCUUUCUCACGCAGGUUAUCAAGCAACCUUCACACUAACCUUUGUUGAUCUUGUGUGCAUUUAUGCAGAUAGUUUGUUGAUAAAAUAACCAUUGUUUUGAUCUUCCUUCUUGAAGAAGUUUCCUUAGGACUAGUUCCUUUAAUCAGAGCAUUUAUUUGUAGGGAUAGAAAGGACUUCAAACACAGAGUCUCGCAGGUACACUGGAGAAAGUCUGCAGAUCCUGAUUAUCCUCAAAUUUCCUGCCAGAUUUCUCCCAGCUGGUACUGCAGCACUCAUCCCAUGACCCAGCAUAUGCUUCUCCCUUGGACACCCAUUACUUCUUUCCUGAAGCGCAAUCUGAGCAAUCUCUGCAUCUGUGGAUUUCAGUUUGGACAUGUAAGGCCAUUUGGAUAAUUUUUUAUGGCUUACAGCGAGGGAGUGGUGAUCUCUGUGCUAAAUGGGAUAGGGUUUUGAACUAUUUGGAACAGAUGGAGAGAACAUUGGACUGUUGAGAUAAGAAUGGGAAGUUUCUAUUCAGAUGGAUUAGACCUUUAUAAUCUAAACUGCUUUUUCUGUCUCCCACUGUGCCCAGCAUACAGGUAAAUAUUUACAUUACGUAUCCUAGUCAUAUGCACUCAUUUAACAAGCCAAAUAAUUAAA
Long non-coding RNA from Passer domesticus (house sparrow), 1125 nucleotides. RefSeq lists it as uncharacterized. The record is from RefSeq and is a predicted model, not a curated record. Lineage: Eukaryota; Metazoa; Chordata; Aves; Passeriformes; Passeridae. The transcript is spliced from 3 exons.